Ictidomys tridecemlineatus (thirteen-lined ground squirrel) is the source of this 2167-nucleotide non-coding RNA. The record is from RefSeq and is a predicted model, not a curated record. Lineage: Eukaryota; Metazoa; Chordata; Mammalia; Rodentia; Sciuridae.
AGUAUCUUCUCCUCUCUUUCCUUGGCUUGUGGAUGCCAACUUUUCUCUGUAUUCUUAGGGUCUUCCUUCUGAGUCUGUUCCUAAAUUUCCUCUUCAUGUGAGGAUACUAGUCAUAUCAGAUCAGGGCCCAGACUACGGAACUCGUUUCAGCUCACUUAUUUCUUUAAAGAUCCUAUCCUGAAACCAACUGCAUUCUGAGAAACUGUGUCUUAAAGGCCAAGCUAGACAUAAGGGAGGGGAGCUACGAAACAGAGAGGCACGAUGUGAAAUUUCCAGGUGCUCCAUGAAUGCUUUCAGAGAAUGAAGAAAACAAGGCAUCAUAGAAUUUGUACUGCAAAAUAGACAUUAAGGACCUUAAAGUGGAGCUCCUUGCACAAAAUGCUCAUCAGCAAGGCCUGCAGAGUCCACAUGAAUAUUGGCCCUACUCCUGGACACUCCCUGCUCAUGACAACAGAAGAAAGAUCUGCUGCAAAUGACUGAACACAAAUUAUAGACUUUAGAACUGUACAGAAUUUACUAUGUAAUUUUUUUUGGUAGAUGUAACAAUUAAGCUAUAGAGCAGGGUUUUGCUAUUAACAUCUUCUUCCUUGGUAAGGCAAUGGUGAAAACCUGAGCCAGCUCUGGCUGAGAGAAUUACCUGACUUGGUCUGCUUCAGAUUUGAGGAAUUUCACAUGAAUUUUCCUCUGACUCUUUUACCUUGUUGUAUCCCAGGCCUUUGGUGGUAGCAUGUUACUUCCUUACAGUGGAGUCCUUUUUAAAUAUAAUGAAGAUUCUAAAUUUGCUUUGAGUCCGUUUUAAGUGUAGAGACUUCAUUAGUUUGUACCAGAAGAUUUCUUUGUACUCACCCCCAAGAGCCUUGAAAAAGUUAAUUUGAAAAAGUUUUUAUUUCUUAUUGCAGGGUCUUGCAAUAUAAUAUUUGAGUACCCUGAUGGCUGCAUUUAAAAAAAAAAUAAGUUUGCUUUAGAGGUUGAAGAGUCUGUCAAUUUGAUCAAAAUAAAUAACAGCCUUCACAGCUGAGAACCAUGAAUAUUAUAACAUCCUGUCUGAUUUUAGCCACUUGAGGAAAUUACUAUUUAAUUAAAUAUUGAAGUGGCUAACCAGUAAUUUAUGAGGCCUUUGUUCUCUGUUGUUGAAACCUAAUUUUUUAGAGUAGCUGUCACAUCUUGAAUGAAGACUAAUGGAAAGAGGUAAAGUUUGAGGGCUUUCUUCAGUAGGGCUCUUCUGUGUGACUUCAUGGCUGUUGACUGUUUUCCUUCCCCCUAUUAACUGACUCCCACUGGAGCCAAUGGGCUUGGGGGAUCCCUUAAAUUUUUUCUGAUUUGUUUUCAUUGGAAUACUCUUGACUUUGAGGUGACAUAAUGAAGUUAGUGCAAAGUCUGAGAGUCUUUUUUUUUUUUUUUCAGAGCCACCUCAAAAGUCUCUAAUAGGAAAUGAGCAGCUGCAAAAGGCCCACCUUUAGAAUGUCAAACCUGAACAGAGAAAGAGCUCACACAGAAUUGUCAGUUCCCAGGUGGCCUUUUCUGUGAGAUAUAUAGCACCAAGUCCAAUGUUUGGGCAAACUGACUGUCCAAUGGGCUCCUCAAAUAGAAAUUAAAUAUUAUGUGGUGUAGAAAAAAACCUUGUUGUGGUACCUUACACAUGAGAAAAAGGACAUUGUCUCAGUGGAUAUUUUCUCUGCAUAGAUUCUGCCUGGGAUCAGUAUAUCCCACCAAUAUUAUUAUUUGCAUAAGUUAAAAGUUUAGGUCAGAAUGGAGACAUUGUGUAAGAGCUAUUUGUGAGAAUUAUUUUUUAGUUUAACACAAACUGCAUCUUUCUCCCUAGGGAGAACACCUUCUGUUUUCUUUAAUCUCUUUUACAAGAGAGGACAGUAUAUAUUAAUAGAGGGCAAGAAUAAAUCACUGGGUCUAAGUGUUAAUGAUCAUCUAAUAAUAAGAUGUGAUAGGAUUAUAUUAGAAUUGCAGAAUUGGGCUAUUUAUUAAGAGUGGCAUGCUAUCAAAUUAUAAGCCUCAGAGGACAUAGGAAUAAUUAUAGUUUUCUAGAAAUGCAAAAAGUUGAAGUCGUUUUGAAAGUCUGUUUUAUUAUUUCCUAUAAAUGAUGACCAAAUAAGGUUAAAACUGAAAAUGUCUGCUAUGUGGAAAAAUAAAUUGUACUCGCAUUUGAAUGAGA